Tribolium madens (black flour beetle) is the source of this 220-nucleotide long non-coding RNA. RefSeq lists it as uncharacterized. Lineage: Eukaryota; Metazoa; Arthropoda; Insecta; Coleoptera; Tenebrionidae. The record is from RefSeq and is a predicted model, not a curated record. The transcript is spliced from 2 exons.
CCGCCAAGUCUGAUUUGGUUUAAUUCCUCGGCUUUGAGCAACACGAAAUUUAUCGAAACUUUGAAAUAUGGAAUGUUGGAAGUGCAAGAACAUUUGGAGACUUUUUGUGAUAAGAAAGAUCAAGCCGCUGUGUAUUGUAACGCAGUUAAAACCACUCUGAAAGUGGAAUAUUUAAGCGGUCAACAACCCAUUGAAGUUCAUCAUUAUUUACUCGAUUUGG